This 324-nucleotide long non-coding RNA is filed under the name Musa acuminata (dwarf banana). Its description in RNAcentral is "long non-coding RNA (MACU_LNC001816)". Lineage: Eukaryota; Viridiplantae; Streptophyta; Magnoliopsida; Zingiberales; Musaceae. The record is from RNAcentral.
AAACAAGAAGCCCAUGAACUAACUGUGAGCCUCUCAGAUAGAUAUAUACUGUUCCAGGCUUUAAUCAAAAUCCAAUUUUUCUUGACCAAUUGCAAGAUUGAAAUCAUGAUCCUAUCGAGAGAAUUUUACUAGACAUCACAUGCAUAAUAAAGACAGUAACUUCACACUGUUAAUUAGAAGUCCAAGACACGAAGGUUACCAGCCAUUCCUUGUGCCCUUGGAAUCCCCGUGGAUUAAGCUCUUUAACAGCAACUAGAGUGUACUCAAGACCAGGUCUGACAUUGUCAUCUAUAGCACCUUUAUAGACGAGGCCAAACCCUCCCU